GAUGAACGCUAGCUACAGGCUUAACACAUGCAAGUCGAGGGGUAACAAGAGGAAAGCUUGCUUUCCUUGUCGACGACCGGCGCACGGGUGAGUAACGCGUAUCCAACCUGCCCCCAACUAGGGAAUAACCUUGCGAAAGUAAGACUAAUACCCUAUAAUUUCCUCAGAUGCCAUCUGACGAGGAAUAAAGAUUUAUCGGUUGUGGAUGGGGAUGCGUCUGAUUAGCUUGUUGGCGGGGUAACGGCCCACCAAGGCAACGAUCAGUAGUGGUUCUGAGAGGAAAGGUCCCCACAUUGGAACUGUGACACUGUCCAAACUCCUACGGAAGGAAGCAGUGAGGAAUAUUGGUCAAUGGGCGGAAGCCUGAACCAGCCAAGUAGAGUGCAGGAUGACGGCCCUAUGUGUUGUAAACUGCUUUUAUACAGGAAUAAAGUUAGCCACGUGUGGUUAUUUGUAGGUACUGUAUGAAUAAGGACCGGCUAAUUCCGUGCCAGCCGCCGCGGUAA
Molecule: ribosomal RNA, 506 nt
Filed under: uncultured bacterium
Lineage: Bacteria
Description: partial 16S ribosomal RNA
Rfam family: Bacterial small subunit ribosomal RNA
Source: RNAcentral